AAAACGCAAUCCUCAUCCAGGACCCCUCGUUCUUUGACUCUCCAUUUCUCCCAUGCUUCCUCUACCAUUCCCCGACUGACCACUAUCUCGGUGUCUUUCCAUUCUCCCAGAUCUUCGUCCUCUAUUCGAUCUUCUCCCGAGGGAUCUUCUCCUCCGUCCGCUGUGGUCCCAGGCGGAUGAUAUCUUUCGCCAUGAACGUGGCCGUUUCGCUGGAUAGGGAAAGUAGCAGCACGACGUUGGUGAAGGAAGCCUAAUUCUGAGAGGGUGAAAGCUGUGUCGUCGAUCCUGAGGUGACAGACUUUCGCGAUCUCCAUUAAAGAGAGAGCCACUGUAUACUGGCCAGGGUGGCCCGUUAUAGGCAUCUUUUCACUUUUUCCCCUUUUUGUGGAUCUUCUUUUCUUACUCGCAGCGUACGACCACUUGCAGGCUUCAUGGGCGACUGCGACUUUGACAUCCUUCUGUCCUUCCUUGGCGAUUCGGUAGAUUUCAUUGGUUCAGCAUCUUUGAGUAAGAAUCGCAAGAAACGGAGGACGACGGAUACCCAGUAGGCGGUGUAGCCUUUGAGGCCAAGAUCGGAUAGAGGGCGUUCGGGUGUACCCGGCGAUAGGGAUUUUGGUCGUGUGGAUGGGUGCUUCGUUAGGUAAUAGCCUGUUGAUAAGCUGGCAGUUAGUGGUUGGAGUCAUGGGAUGGUCAAGGAACGUACUGAAUUCAAUAAGGAGUUUACCAAAUCCCCGAUUUUGGAAUGGCGGGAAAGUCACUAUACAAGCGAGGUUGUAGUCAUCGUAUGAGACUUUUUCCUGCACCCGCAGUGAGCAUGUUUUUUUCUUUUUUUUUGACUAGUUGAGAAGUUUGC
Molecule: small RNA, 853 nt
Filed under: Cryptococcus neoformans H99
Lineage: Eukaryota; Fungi; Basidiomycota; Tremellomycetes; Tremellales; Cryptococcaceae
Description: Cryptococcus neoformans var. grubii H99 hypothetical RNA
Source: RNAcentral